This 196-nucleotide ribosomal RNA is filed under the name uncultured bacterium. RNAcentral's name for it is "partial 16S ribosomal RNA". It matches the Rfam family "Bacterial small subunit ribosomal RNA", at positions 337 to 525 of the family's 1533-position model. The record is from RNAcentral.
UCCUACGGGAGGCAGCAGUGGGGAAUUUUGGACAAUGGGGGAAACCCUGAUCCAGCAAUGCCGCGUGUGUGAAGAAGGCCUUCGGGUUGUAAAGCACUUUUGUCAGGAACGAAACGGUGGGAGCUAAUACCUCCUGCUAAUGACGGUACCUGAAGAAUAAGCACCGGCUAACUACGUGCCAGCAGCCGCGGUAAUA